UGACGAGUGGCGGACGGGUGAGUAAUGUCUGGGAAACUGCCUGAUGGAGGGGGAUAACUACUGGAAACGGUAGCUAAUACCGCAUAACGUCGCAAGACCAAAGAGGGGGACCUUCGGGCCUCUUGCCAUCGGAUGUGCCCAGAUGGGAUUAGCUAGUAGGUGGGGUAACGGCUCACCUAGGCGACGAUCCCUAGCUGGUCUGAGAGGAUGACCAGCCACACUGGAACUGAGACACGGUCCAGACUCCUACGGGAGGCAGCAGUGGGGAAUAUUGCACAAUGGGCGCAAGCCUGAUGCAGCCAUGCCGCGUGUAUGAAGAAGGCCUUCGGGUUGUAAAGUACUUUCAGCGGGGAGGAAGGGAGUAAAGUUAAUACCUUUGCUCAUUGACGUUACCCGCAGAAGAAGCACCGGCUAACUCCGUGCCAGCAGCCGCGGUAAUACGGAGGGUGCAAGCGUUAAUCGGAAUUACUGGGCGUAAAGCGCACGCAGGCGGUUUGUUAAGUCAGAUGUG
This 511-nucleotide ribosomal RNA is filed under the name Escherichia fergusonii. Its description in RNAcentral is "bacterial SSU rRNA". It matches the Rfam family "Bacterial small subunit ribosomal RNA", at positions 89 to 596 of the family's 1533-position model. Lineage: Bacteria; Pseudomonadati; Pseudomonadota; Gammaproteobacteria; Enterobacterales; Enterobacteriaceae. The record is from RNAcentral.